UACGAAGGGUGCAAGCGUUACUCGGAAUUACUGGGCGUAAAGCGUGCGUAGGUGGUUUGUUAAGUCUGUUGUGAAAGCCCUGGGCUCAACCCAGGAAAUGCACACGAAACUGGCAGGCUUGAAUAUGGAAGAGGGUCGCGGAAUUCCCGGUGUAGAGGUGAAAUUCGUAGAUAUCGGGAGGAACACCAGUGGCGAAAGGCGGCGCCUGGGCCAAUAUUG
RNAcentral lists this ribosomal RNA (219 nucleotides) under uncultured bacterium. RNAcentral's name for it is "partial 16S ribosomal RNA". It matches the Rfam family "Bacterial small subunit ribosomal RNA", at positions 524 to 742 of the family's 1533-position model. The record is from RNAcentral.